Long non-coding RNA from Trachemys scripta elegans, 2712 nucleotides. RefSeq lists it as uncharacterized. The record is from RefSeq and is a predicted model, not a curated record. The transcript is spliced from 3 exons. Lineage: Eukaryota; Metazoa; Chordata; Testudines; Emydidae.
GCCCCGGAAAACUCUUGUGGGGCCCGGGUCUCCGGGGCUUCUUCCGCUCCGGGGCUUCGGCAGCAAUUCGGCGGUGGCGGGGGGUCCUUCCGUCCCGGGCCCCACCGCCGAAAUGACGCACUGGAGCUAGGAGGUGCACGGCUGUGGCGAAUUAACUUGUUAAGCACACCCUGGCUAACAGAAAUCUAGUGCAACAGAUGUAAUACACAAGGAGUAUGUGCAACAAGCAUGGCUUGUUCUCUCUGUCAGCCUCUUGCCAUCCUCCUCCCCCUGAGGCCAUCCCCAUUGGCAUCUUUAUUGUGCUUCUGAUUUAGACUGAUUUUAUAAGCUCCUCCGAGCAGCGCUCCUGUCUUUUUUUAUCUGCCUAUAAAUACUCAGCACUUACAUCACACCUUUCACUGAAAGAUCUCAAAGCACUUUACAAACAUAUGUAUGUGUCAUUACAGAUGAGGGAACCAAGGCACAGAUUAUAAACCCAAGAUUACAUGGUGGGUCAGUGGCAGAGCCAGGAACCAAGCUCACCAUGCCUGAUUCCCAGGCAGUGCCCAAGCUAUUCAUCCACACUGCCUACUUCUCCAGCACCUAUGCAUCUUUAUAAACAAGUCUGCACUAGGGCAGUGUCCCUCAUACCCCAGUCCCCUCUCCACUCGCAUUGGACAAUUGUGGAUUCAUUGUAAAUCACAGACUCUGGAGACUAAAAAGACCAGUUAAAGUGGACCAUCCAGUAUUUCUCCCUACCAACACGGGAUUGUGCCCACCUGUGCAUUUAAAACUCGCCUGGAGUUUUACAUGUGCCAAGCAAUAGGGCGUCCACUGCUUGCCUCAGGAGAUCUCGCUGAGGACAUAAAGAGCUAUGAUGCUGUGACACUCAGCAUUGCAACAACUAAGUCCUGUCGUGGAUCCCUCCCAAAGUACUUUACAAAAAGGGAGUAGCAUCAUUAUCUCCAUUUUAUAGAUGGAGAAACUGACCAGGCAGAGUGACUUGCUGCAGUGAUUAGGACUGGGAGGCAGAUCUGAUUCCCAGACUUGUGUCCAGCCCAGAAGACCCUAGUUGCUAUCAGUGCUCUUGCUGUGCUUUGCACCAUUACUGCAGAAUUCCGCUGUGGGAAAUGCCAGGUAUUAAUUAUUACUAUUAUUUGGGCGUCACUGUUUCCACUCACACUUCCUAUCACGCAGCCCUGCACCUUUGCUGAUGGAGAAUCAUGUCUUGCUCUUUUGACACUUAGACACUGUUCAUUUGCUUUGAGACGUGGUUUUAUCAUUUCAUUGGAAAAACAAAACAGUCCAAAGCCAUUUCUUUUUGUUUUCUUCCCCCCCCAGCUCUUCUCCUCCUCUUGACCUACAGGUAAAAAACUGGUGGCUUAGACCAGUGCAGGGGGGAGGGGGUGUUAAAAUAAGUACUUCAGACAACUGAAUGAGGAAAAUAACAGAGCCUGGGAAAGAGGAACAUACUUAGUUUAUCUGAGACAUGUUUUUAAAAGGGCUGAGUGUGUGGUGAGAGCUGGCCUAGCCAUGGCCUGCUGUAGAGAAUCCUCUUUCAUUUCAAUUCCCCAGGAUGAAAAGGUGAUGCUGGCUAAUUUGAACCUAGUCAUUAGGACCCCCUUUCAAUUCAAUUAAGCUCUGUUCUCUUCCUCAGCCUGUGGGCCUUGGUCUGUUGUUAUUAAUCAGGAGACAGGGAAAUUGCUUUCACCGUAAAACUUUCACAUUCUUCGCUGGAAGCAAAACACUGAUCUGAUUUUGCCUGAUGGAAGAGGUUUUUAUGCCUGCUGGACAUGAGUGGUGGGAAUGCUUCACCUCCCAGAAGACAGCAGUUUAGCACAACUCCUAUGGGGUAGAGUGGGACAGGCAGAUUACUGAUAGAGUAGGAGAGGCCCAGCUGGAGUCCAGUUACAGUGGUGGAUCCCAGUUCACCAGGACAUGUGUAGCAGGCAGGAUGGAUUCUCACUCUGGAAGCCACACAUGGGCAUGGAUUUUAGUGGUGGAGAAGAUUCAGCUCCAGAGAGGCAUAUUUGAAAUUUUCAUAAAAUAGAUACUACAGCACUGGUCCCAAAUGCUGUAGUGACUACACUAUAAACUCUGACCUUAGAGAUCAUGAUUGCAGAGCACUGCCUUAUUGCUUUCUGUAAGGGCUCCUAACUCGCGAUGUCUGGUUUAUGGGGGAACUUCCCUUUUUUUCCCAUGUACACAUUCUGGAGAGAUGAAUUACUCUAGUUUGCACUCUUAUACCUCCCAUCAUCCCUCUGUAAGUAUCAUUAACUCUCUUUUAUAUAAGGGAAAAUGGAGGCACCAAAACAUAUGAUCUGCCCAAGAUACAAAGGAGGCAAGUGGGAGAGUUGCAGGGCUGUAACCAGGGUGGGGCGAGCAGGGAAACCGCCCAGGGCACAAAGCCGUGGGGGCGGAAAAUGAUGGAAAGAAAGGUAGGGGCACAAAUAUGCUUGCUCGCCCUCAGCACUAAAAUGCCUAGUUAUGUCUCUGGAUAUAUACAAACCCAUGUAUACAAGUUUUAUGCAGAUGGUUCUUUUAAAAUUUAUUAUUUUAAUGUAUUCAGGAAAGUGGGGCCAGGAAAGAUCUUUACAAAUUUCAGUUACAUCAACACUAGCGGGGUGUUUUUUGGCUUGCAUCUAUCCCUGUGGAAACAGAGCAGAAAUGGUGGAGGCACCUGGACAACGGAAGAGGGAGUAGCAUAUAUUUUAAAAAUGUAACUUAAUAAAA